UAUGAAUUUCCAUUCAAUCUCUUUCCAAUUUCUACGCAUUCUCCAUCUUCCCUACAACCUUCCAAAAUAAAGAUGGCUUGCUACAUCGCUACAUCACUAGCUGUCUCCUCUCUCAAAGGAUCUGCUGGGCUGAUCCCAGUGGAUCACACUGGAGUAGCUCUUCCUGCCUGAGAAUAGUUUUUGCAACCUGGACAGCUCUCUCAGCAUGUUCUUUACUCUGAGCAUAAUGAGGACUAGAUGUUACAUGGUGUCAUGGUCCGGUGACUGGCUGUGCACAGUUUUGCUGAGUCCACCUCUGAGCGGAGCCCUCAUCAACACACCUGCCAUACUCACCUGCCUGUGAUCUGGGAUAUUCAGCCAGCAGUAUUUAAGACCAGCGCACCCAACUAUCCUUCGACAGUUCAUCUGCUAACAUGCUAGUUAUAUUAAUCAUGUUCUUGUUAAAAUGGACCUUUUUUCUCCUUGUGUUCUUAGUAGCUUCACGGAUCCUUCAUACUCCACAAUUCACUCACCUGGAUGCUGUUCAACCCUGGAAACUGACUGUUGGUUCAUGCUCAGAGACUCAUCACUCUUCACCUGCCUGCCCUCCUGCUACUGCAGUCCCAGAUCACUGGAUCAUUCAGGUUGGACUCUGCUCACUCUCAUCCCGUCUGGACACUUACCUGGCCAACACUGCCUCCCCCCUAGGCACUCUCUACCUACUAGCAAAAGACCCUCGUUCAAGUCUCAUGUGCCACGAACUAUUUCCUGACCAUUGUUCCAGUUUCACGCUCCAUGCAUUAUUCCUUUGAUUGUUGCCUUCUUUUGUUUUUGUAAAUAAAGUCUCAUUAACCCUGA
This is a long non-coding RNA of Oreochromis aureus, 837 nucleotides long. NCBI's taxonomy places the organism in Eukaryota, Metazoa, Chordata, Actinopteri, Cichliformes, Cichlidae. The record is from Ensembl.